UUUUAUUUCCACAAGUGGUCAAUGCCACUAUGAAUCAGACUGGCUGGAACAGCUUGAUUAGCAGGCUGUUCCAGCCAAUGAAACCAAGGAAGGAAGCAACAGACAAAGAGGAGGAGGAAGCUCCAUACUUUGGAGGAUUUGCUGUCUGGCUGAACUGUUUGUUACUGACCCCACAACCUGUUCAGCACUUCCAUCACUUCACCCGACUUGGAUGAAGAAAAUGGAGAAACAGAGCUUGUGAGAUCUGGAAUUGCUGCAGCUGCAGGCAGCUGUGUGUGUGUGUGUGUGUGUGUGUGUGUGUGUGUGUGUGUGUGUGUGUGUAGCCCUCUACCAGAUAGGGAGUGAGCUGUAUUUUAAAUUAAUUAUUUUUAUUUUAUUUUAUUUUAUUUUGAUUGAGUGCUGCUCUGGCGGGUUGCCACAAAAGAGACUUGAGAGAUUGAGGAGAGACUUUAUGGGGUGGGGUGGGGAGGAUCUUGAGAAGAAGCUGGAUUUUGAAAAGGAGUUUAUGAAAUGAUUGAGAGAGGGAAUCUGAGAAGGGACAGAGACUGGAAGACUGGAAGGAGAGGAGAGCAGCAGCUUCCUACUGUCAAGUAGCUCCAGCACAAGGAAACUGAGGCCAGAAACUGCAGCCAAGUCUGAAGAUCUGCAUCAUUAUCCAUUUUGUGGAAUAUAACCUUUGUGAAGUU
Hemicordylus capensis (graceful crag lizard) is the source of this 686-nucleotide long non-coding RNA. RefSeq lists it as uncharacterized. The record is from RefSeq and is a predicted model, not a curated record. The transcript is spliced from 2 exons. Lineage: Eukaryota; Metazoa; Chordata; Lepidosauria; Squamata; Cordylidae.